UUGGGCCCAUCCGACAUUCACGGGCGCCGUCCACCCCCUCGGACGGCGGCAAAUGGAAUGGAAUACCGUCCACCGCCAUGGCCGGCGGUCGGGAUGGUGUCGGUGCGUGCUUUGCGGUGGGCGCCGAGGAAAGGCGCUCGGCAGGACCCUAUGGGCGCUGGAGCGUUCUGAGCAGGCGAGUGCAGUCGAUGUGCGUCCGGCUGCCCGCACCGCCGCGCAGCGCGCAGACGGCGGAGCGUCGCCGGCCACUGCGGGCGACGGGAAACGGAUGGCGAUGACUUCGCCUCUUCGGCGCGUCUUCCCACCGAAACAACCGCCGGCGUAUUCCCGUCGCAGGCAAGUCACCCCUAGCAUCAGCAGUAGCGCUGACGGAUUUUUCGCCCAAUUUUACAAGUCAGAUCGGCCGCUGUGGUAACUUACCUGGCAAGUGAGGCAGUAGCGCUGAAAAAUUACCAGCGUAAUUUACCACUGGUAAGUGAAGCAGUAGCGCUGAUAAUUUGCUAAACCUUCAUGUAAAAGUCAGAUCGGCCGCUGUGGUAAAUUACCACCGGUAAGUGAAGCUUGCAAAACACUUUAUCCCAAACUGGAUACAUGAAGUUGUUUCAUACAGAAAAACGGUAGCCAAUUAUUUCUUAUACUGUAUAAUUAGCAUCGGGCUUAUCCAAAAAUAUUCUUACUUUGCAAAAUGCUCUAAAUUGCAGUGGAAGGCCCUCCGAUGUUGUACCGAGUAAUGGAGUUCUGACUUCCUGUCGGCAUGGACAGGUCUCGUCCUGCUAACAUCCUGUUGAUAUGGACCUUCAUGUCAGUUGCAGCGUGCAACUUACCGAGUAUGGCAUCGGCGAACUGAAAAUAUGCCUUUCUUGUAGUUGCGCUAGAUAUAAGGGUCAAGCAAACAGUGGAGAAUCCAGUUGCAAAACCCAGCAAUGUACACAUGUAUGUCAGCUUAUCAAAAUGCUUCUUG
RNAcentral lists this long non-coding RNA (961 nucleotides) under Sorghum bicolor (sorghum). RNAcentral's name for it is "long non-coding RNA (SBIC_LNC013365)". The record is from RNAcentral. Lineage: Eukaryota; Viridiplantae; Streptophyta; Magnoliopsida; Poales; Poaceae.